RNAcentral lists this ribosomal RNA (497 nucleotides) under uncultured bacterium. RNAcentral describes it as "partial 16S ribosomal RNA". It matches the Rfam family "Bacterial small subunit ribosomal RNA", at positions 28 to 507 of the family's 1533-position model. The record is from RNAcentral.
GUUGAACGCUGGCGGCGUGCCUAACACAUGCAAGUCGAGCGAAUGGACGAGAAUUUUGCCUCGCUGAUGCUAGCGGCGGGCGGGUGAGUACCACGAGGCUACCCUAUCUUGAAGACUGGGAUACCUUCGGGGAACCGGAGCUAACACCGGUUCAUAUUGUGAACCGCAUGGUUCAAAAGUGAAAGACGGUCUUGCUGACACUAAUAGAUGUAUCCGCGCUGCAUUAGCUAGUUGGUAAGGUAACGGCUUACCAAGGCAACGAUGCAUAGCUGACCUGAGAGGAUGAUCAGCCACACUAGAACUGAGACGCGGUCCAGACUCCUACGGGAGGCAGCAGUAGGGAAUCUUCCACAAUGGGCGAAAGCCUGACGCAGCAAUGCCGCGUGAGUGAUGAAGGUCUUCGGAUUGUAAAGCACUGUUAGUAGGGAGGAACAUCUGUGUAAGUAACUCUGCAUAUCUUGACGUUACCUAAUCAAAAAGCCACGGCUAACUACGUG